RNAcentral lists this transfer RNA (72 nucleotides) under bovine gut metagenome. It matches the Rfam family "tRNA". From Rfam's summary of the family: Transfer RNA (tRNA) molecules are approximately 80 nucleotides in length. Their secondary structure includes four short double-helical elements and three loops (D, anti-codon, and T loops). The record is from RNAcentral.
GGGGUAUAGCUCAGUUGGCUAGAGCACCUGCCCUGCAAGCAGGGGGUCGUCGGUUCGAUUCCGACUAUCUCC